UACGUAGGGUGCAAGCGUUAAUCGGAAUUACUGGGCGUAAAGCGUGCGCAGGCGGUUCGUUAAGUUCGCCGUGAAAGCCCCGGGCUCAGCCUGGGAACUGCGAUGGAAACUGGCGGGCUUGAGUGUGGCAGAGGGGGGUGGAAUUCCGCGUGUAGCAGUGAAAUGCGUAGAGAUGCGGAGGAACACCGAUGGCGAAGGCAGCCCCCUGGGCCAACACUGACGCUCAGGCACGAAAGCGUGGGGAGCAAACAGG
RNAcentral lists this ribosomal RNA (253 nucleotides) under uncultured bacterium. Its description in RNAcentral is "partial 16S ribosomal RNA". It matches the Rfam family "Bacterial small subunit ribosomal RNA", at positions 524 to 776 of the family's 1533-position model. The record is from RNAcentral.